CCACUGCGCCACCAGGGAAGCCCGCAAAUCAUAUUUUAGUGAGAAAAAAAAAAGUUAAAUCCAAUCGUCUCUUCAGUAACAUAAAAAGUCACCCUCUCUUGGGCUCGCAGUGAAACUGGAUUCAUUCAUUACAUAAUGCAACUUGGAAAAAACAGGUUCCAAAGAGAAAAGUAAGACAAACGUGCUUAUUUGUAAAUAGAAUUCACACUCCUUUAACCUCAAGAUUAUGAAAUGACCAGAGUGGAGGUGAGGAUAUUUCACAAAGCACACAGCUCUUUAUCAUCACUUACAGAUGUUACUCUCCCACUAUGACAUACCACAUACCACCCUUUGCAAGCAAAUGUUCUGAGCUAAAUAAGUUAAGUGACUUCCUUAAUAUCACACUUGAAGUCUCCUGAAAGUUCACGCCUGAGAACACAGAAACGUACAGGUGCUGGUGAAUCGUCAUCCCUUGCAGUUUACACAGUGGCUAAUCUACGGAAGGCCUGAGUCUUUGACAUGUGCAGUGCCAGCCUGGGUGCCCAGACAGCACGUCAACUCUCCAUGUACUGAACUGAAACUGGUUGGACUGAAUCAAGUUGUUAAAAAACACAGCAACAACGAUUACAACGUUGGAGGGUGGAUGUGCAGUGGCCUAAAUAAAAUGACU
Molecule: non-coding RNA, 649 nt
Organism: Delphinapterus leucas (beluga whale)
Lineage: Eukaryota; Metazoa; Chordata; Mammalia; Artiodactyla; Monodontidae
Source: RefSeq, a predicted model, not a curated record